Molecule: unclassified non-coding RNA, 151 nt
Filed under: uncultured fungus
Lineage: Eukaryota; Fungi
Description: sequence contains ITS1, 5.8S rRNA gene
Source: RNAcentral
ACAAAUCAUUGCGGGCUUCGGCUCACAUUAACCCGGCCGCGAGGCUAGGUCUUGUAGACCUGUGUGCUGUUGGAUCAUCAACCGAUUCGUGCAGCUAGCAGGUCGACAUUAACGCUUGUUUGUUUGACUGUGUGAUGGAUCAAUAAAAUGA